This is a long non-coding RNA of Bos taurus (domestic cattle), 1498 nucleotides long. The record is from Ensembl. Lineage: Eukaryota; Metazoa; Chordata; Mammalia; Artiodactyla; Bovidae.
AUGCAGGAGACACAGGUUUGAUCCCUGGGUCAGGAAGAUUCCCUGAAGAAGGAAACAGUAUUCUUACCUGGCUAUUUACUUAGAGUGGAUUUCAUUUAUAAACUCUCAAGAUGCCAAAGAAAUAAGUCAUUUUCUGAGAAGUGUCUGCUGAAGUGGAAAAAGUGGGAGAAUCAAAAAAUAUGCUUCUAAGGGAAAUCUGGAUGAAUAUAUACAAAGAAGGAAGCUGAUAUGAAGGCAACUACAUGAUGGCGAAGAUGGGACAGACGAAACUGCAAGCCAAGUAAUGCCAAAGAACUGCCUACCACCAGCAACUAGAAAGAAGCAAGUAAGGAUUCUACGCAGAGUCUCAGAUGGAGCAUAGCUCUGCUGACACAUGGAUUUUAUAUUUCCAGCCUGUAGAUUUGUAAAAUAAUACAUUUCUGCUUGUUCUAAGCCACCUAGUUUGUGAUACUUUGUUACAGUCACUCAGUGUUAGUCACUCAGCUGUGUUCAACUCUUUGUAACCCCAUGGACUGUAGCCUGCCAGGUUCCUCUGUCCAUGGAUUCUCCAGGCAAGAAUAUUGGAGUGGGUUGCCAUUUCCUUCUUUCGGGGGAUAUUCUCGACUCAUGGAUCUGAUCAGGUCUCCCACCUUGUGGGCAGAAGCCAUACUUUGUUUUAGUAACCCUAGCCAAAUAAUAUAAAAUCCACUCACUACCUGUCAUGAAAAUUUUUCCUUGAGAAAGACAUCUGGAAGAAUGGGUUAAUAAUAGAGAAUGUAAUACUCUGCUUAUUAAUAUGUAGCCCUUCGAUAUAUUUUUAGAUGCUUUUAAAUGUGAAUUUCUGUUAUUAAUACAAAAGCUAUGCAUGUUCACUAAAGAAAAUGUUCAAAAUAGUGACAGGUGGUCUGAAUGGGUCCUUCCUUGCCCUGUAGUGUUUUCUCCAUAGAGCAGCUAGGAUGAACUAAUUGAAAUAUUGAUCUUGCCUCUUCUCUCAUUAAAACCCUUCAAUGACUUUUUCAUCUCACUCAGAGCAAAUCUAUAGAAUUUAAGUGACUUAUAAUCCAUAUAAAUCAUUACAGUAAUUAUUCUCAAUAAACUGGGAGCAUUUGAAAACUGCUGUUGUCUGAGUUCCUUCUUAAAUUCAAACAGAUCUCUGAGGGUGUGGACUGGGCAUGGGUAUUUUGAAAGUCUCUCUUGGUGAUUCUGAAGUAAGAUAAAGAACCACUACCUGUCACAGUUUCUCCUAUCCACUCCUAAAACCCUUAUUUUUUCUCCUGUUAUUUCUUCGACCUCAUGUCCUACUACCUUCAUCCUGGCUGCACUGGCCUCCUUGCUGUACCUUAUAAUCCUCAAGCAUGCUCUCACUUGCUCUUUGUUCUGUCGCUGCACCAUCAGGUAUUCAUUUACAUGACUGGCUUCUUCACUUCAUUCAGGUCUUUGCUCAAAGGAAACUUUACCAGUGAAGCCUUUUCUGACCCCUUUAAAAAAUACUCUCCACAUUCCAUCCCCUACUCCUGCC